Long non-coding RNA from Boleophthalmus pectinirostris (great blue-spotted mudskipper), 943 nucleotides. RefSeq lists it as uncharacterized. The transcript is spliced from 3 exons. The record is from RefSeq and is a predicted model, not a curated record. Lineage: Eukaryota; Metazoa; Chordata; Actinopteri; Gobiiformes; Gobiidae.
CGUCACUCCCCCUCAGCUUCUACAGGAGAACCUUUGUGUGGUUGGGAGUCUACAAAGGAGAGAGAGACUCCUUCAAACUCAGGUGUGUCAAGAAAAUGCCCCAAAAGAAAAUGGACAGAAGAGGAGGUGAAGCUGGUUGAAAACAAGCUCUUGGACCACAUCACAUCUGGACGGGUACCAGGAAAAAGACAAUGUGAAGACUGCAUCAGGUCAGCGCCGGAAAUUUUUAAACAUAGAACCUGGGAAUCUGUUAAGUUUUACAUCAAGAACCGAAUAACAGCACACCGGAGGGAGUGUGAGAAAAGACGAUGACUCUGAAAAGAUCAUGCAACUUCAGGUCAGUUCUGUUCUCCAAAAUGGAGGAUAGAACUGACCUGAAAUGUACCAAACACUGUUCACACUUAUUCUCUCCAGUCCAUCUUUUUAUCUCAGAGCAUUUGUUUGGUUUGUUCUGGCUUUUAACCCUACCAUAAAUUAGGGAAUAUGUUAAUACUGAAAAUGUUUGGUUCUUGCCAGUUCUGUCUUUCAUGUCAAACACACAGACACUUUGCACUUGUUCACUUUAUCUUCUUAUACUUUCAUCAGAGCUUUUGUUUAGACUGACUUUACAAAAUCACCUGUAUUACUCUGAGCUUUAUGUUUAUACUUUGGGUUUUCAGAUUAAUACACAGUGUACUGGAGACACUGUGAGUAAUACUUUUGAUUUUAUUUAUUCACAAAAAGGAAGAGUUACUAAAGAAGUUCUAUAUCAAUCCUUUUGUUUAUUUGAUAAAUGCCUUAAUGGAGAAUGUGGACAAUACUCGUACUUGUUCAAACAUAUACAAGUAUUAUUUUAUGUUUGUUAGCUGUACUUUAUGAAAAACAUUUGACAUGUUUUCAUGGAUGUGAUCCAGCCAAUUCUUUACUGUUCAUGUUUGCAAUAAAAAGAUUGCAAAGAUUUGAA